CAAUACGGAUUACAUAACGAAGAGUUUGAUCCUGGCUCAGAACUAACGCUGGCGGCGCGUCUUAAACAUGCAAGUCGAGCGGAAAGGCCCGCAAGGGUACUCGAGCGGCAAACGGGUGAGUAACACGUAGGUAAUCUUCCUUCCAGUGGGGGACAACCUGCCGAAAGGCAGGCUAAUACCGCAUAUUGCCAGACUUUCUACGGAUUGUCUGAUGAAAGCAGUAAUGCGCUGGAAGAUGAGCCUGCGGCUGAUUAGCUUGUUGGCGGGGUAACGGCCCACCAAGGCGACGAUCAGUAGCCGGCCUGAGAGGGUGGACGGCCACACUGGGACUGGGACACGGCCCAGACUCCUACGGGAGGCAGCAGUUAAGAAUCUUGUGCAAUGGGCGAAAGCCUGACACAGCGACGCCGCGUGCGCGAUGAAGGCCUUCGGGUUGUAAAGCGCAAUAGACAGGGACGAAGAAAGUGACGGUACCUGUUGAAAGCACCGGCUAACUACG
RNAcentral lists this ribosomal RNA (499 nucleotides) under uncultured bacterium. RNAcentral describes it as "bacterial SSU rRNA". It matches the Rfam family "Bacterial small subunit ribosomal RNA", at positions 1 to 505 of the family's 1533-position model. The record is from RNAcentral.